GACGAACGCUGGCGGCGUGCUUAACACAUGCAAGUCGAACGGAAAGGCCCUGCUUUUGUGGGGUGCUCGAGUGGCGAACGGGUGAGUAACACGUGAGUAACCUGCCCUUGACUUUGGGAUAACUUCAGGAAACUGGGGCUAAUACCGGAUAGGAGCUCCUGCUGCAUGGUGGGGGUUGGAAAGUUUCGGCGGUUGGGGAUGGACUCGCGGCUUAUCAGCUUGUUGGUGGGGUAGUGGCUUACCAAGGCUUUGACGGGUAGCCGGCCUGAGAGGGUGACCGGCGACAUUGGGACUGAGGUACGGCCCAGACUCCUACGGGGGGCAGCAGUGGGGAAUAUGGCACAGUGGGCGGAAGCCUGAUGCAGCAACGCCGCGUGCGGGAUGACGGCCUUCGGGUUGUAAACCGCUUUCGCCUGUGACGAAGCGUGAGUGACGGUAAUGGGUAAAGAAGCACCGGCUAACUACGUG
RNAcentral lists this ribosomal RNA (468 nucleotides) under uncultured bacterium. RNAcentral describes it as "partial 16S ribosomal RNA". It matches the Rfam family "Bacterial small subunit ribosomal RNA", at positions 28 to 507 of the family's 1533-position model. The record is from RNAcentral.